GAAUAUCUUGUUUAACAUAAGCAUCACACUGCUGCAGCCUUCCCUGGUAACAAAAUGUUUGUCCUAAAGUUUAGUGGACAUUAUUUCUUCUGCAUUAAUUCUACAUUAUUUCUUCUGUAUUAAUUCCACAGAUACAAGGGUUCAAAAUUCUGGAACAUUACAUCCUAUAACAUGCUCGACUAACAAGCAUGGUCAUUCAGAUAUACAUGUAAUUAAGAUCACUGACUAAAUCAAGUCUCUUUUAUAUUGAAGCAAUGGUGUGUCAACUAUGGUCAAAGUUUGUUACAUGAACGCCGACUUGAUACAGUUUCUGCUUCAUGAGAAAUUAAAGUAUCACAGGAUGUCAGAACAAGCAAUGCACAUGCGCCCUAUGACCUUAAUUAGCCGACUUAUGACUUUAUUUCAGGCAAGUUAGUACAGCUGUAGCAGAUGUGAGAACGAUUUUGCACCAUUAUUUUUGUUUUCUGUUUCAGUAAACAUUAAUCCACUUUUAAAAAAUGCUGGGAUUUGGUUGAGAAUAUGAGAAAAAAAUCAAAAUUUGGGUCAAACUGCAGAGACCAAAAAUAUUGUUUCGCUACAUCAACAUAUAAAGCAAAAAAUGCUCAGAGUACAAAUAUGAGAAUAAAAAGCUCCCAGCAAUAUGAAAUGUAAAUAGAGCCAAG
RNAcentral lists this long non-coding RNA (662 nucleotides) under Malus domestica (apple). RNAcentral describes it as "long non-coding RNA (MDOM_LNC002062)". The record is from RNAcentral. Lineage: Eukaryota; Viridiplantae; Streptophyta; Magnoliopsida; Rosales; Rosaceae.